AUUUCAGGCACGGCCUACAGUAAAAGAUGUCCUCGAAGAUUAUCGUCGAAAAUACGAGGUGUUAUUCUACAACCGAACGCGUAGAUAAACAAAGUGAAUGAAAGAGAAAUACGAUCAGAUACUUCCUUACCUUUGGAAUACAAACUCUUGGGCGAAUUAAGAUCCAAAUCCGCACUGAGAAGCGAGAUGAAAUCAGAGGGCAUCACCUGGAGAAGGGAGGAAGAGUCAGGACCCCUCCAACGGAAUAGAUUCUGUUGAAUCUGUUCUUCGUUACCAUUUAAUUAUUAAUUCCGCUUUAAGUGAACAAGACCUUCUUCAGAUUCUCCUCUCUCCCCAAGGUAAAGAAGCGUUUGGAAAUUCAAGAUAAAAUUAGAAGCCAGGCGUGCGAAUGAACUGCGUGUUUCUAGUUAAAAUGGCUGCAUUUGGUCUCCAGUGAAGGAAAAGGAAAGUGUUGGUUCUGUUCUGUGUAAUCUCGCCAUACAAACUGCAUGAGACGACUACUCUCCGCUCCUUUUCAUCAUCGGCUCCAACCGACGUGACCUCGAGCCGCCGCCACCGCGCGCUCACGUCACUGGCCGGCGCACGCGCACCGGUCCCGGGAAUCCGAGCUUCUGGAAGUUGUGGUGCCCAUAAUGGAGUAUAGAAGCAAAAUGAUGCGCAUGCUAGAAAUGUGAAAUUUAAAAAAACAACGUGCUGAGAGAAAAAAAAAGACUCAGGAAAUUCUUCUUGGACUGCAAACGUUCACUGCUUGCUAACCUGCCCAGUGUUUCCAGCACUUCCGUUCGUUUUUAGCAUGAUGGGCCCCUACCCCCCCGCCUUUUGUGAAGGUGAACACACUGAGAGUGUACCCACAUGGAAAAGGAGGACAGUAAUGUAUGAGAUAAAAAAUGGCGGCAGUGAACUCCUUCAACCUGCUCUUACCUGUCAGAGCAGAAGUGUGACAUCACAGAAAACACAUGCUUCACAUUCUACCUCCGGGGUAAAUAGGGAGGAAGUCACAAAGAGGAUCCAGAAAAUUACAUACAUUUCCAACAAGAUCCAAGACUUGAGCAAGAACUCAUGUGUAUCAAACACAAUGUAACUUGCAAAUAAACUUUGUAUAAUUUGUGUA
Rhincodon typus (whale shark) is the source of this 1111-nucleotide long non-coding RNA. RefSeq lists it as uncharacterized. NCBI's taxonomy places the organism in Eukaryota, Metazoa, Chordata, Chondrichthyes, Orectolobiformes, Rhincodontidae. The record is from RefSeq and is a predicted model, not a curated record. The transcript is spliced from 3 exons.